CCUACGGGUGGCUGCAGUAAGGAAUAUUGGUCAAUGGACGCAAGUCUGAACCAGCCAUGCCGCGUGGAGGAUGAAGGUCCUCUGGAUUGUAAACUUCUUUUAUUUGGGAAGAAACCCACGAUUUCUAUUGUGGUUGACGGUACCAGAUGAAUAAGCACCGGCUAACUCCGUGCCAGCAGCCGCGGUAAUACGGAGGGUGCAAGCGUUAUCCGGAUUCACGGGGUUGAAAGGGUGCGUGGGCGGGCAGGUAGAAAUCCCCGAGCUUAACUUGGUAACUGCCGUUGAUACUAUCUGUCGUGAAUACUGUGGAGGUAAGCGGAAUAUGUCAUGUAGCGGUGAAAUGCUUAGAUAGGACAUAGAACACCUAUUGCGAAGGCAGCUUGCUACACAGUCAUUGACGCUGAGGCACGAAAGCGUGGGGAUCAAACAGGAUUAGAUACCCCAGUAGUC
Molecule: ribosomal RNA, 450 nt
Filed under: uncultured bacterium
Lineage: Bacteria
Description: partial 16S ribosomal RNA
Rfam family: Bacterial small subunit ribosomal RNA
Source: RNAcentral